GACAUAGGGUGCGAGCGUUGUCCGGAUUUAUUGGGCGUAAAGAGCUCGUAGGCGGCUUGUCGCGUCGACCGUGAAAACUUGGGGCUCAACCCCAAGCCUGCGGUCGAUACGGGCAGGCUAGAGUUCGGUAGGGGAGACUGGAAUUCCUGGUGUAGCGGUGAAAUGCGCAGAUAUCAGGAGGAACACCGGUGGCGAAGGCGGGUCUCUGGGCCGAUACUGACGCUGAGGAGCGAAAGCGUGGGGAGCGAACAGG
RNAcentral lists this ribosomal RNA (253 nucleotides) under uncultured bacterium. Its description in RNAcentral is "partial 16S ribosomal RNA". It matches the Rfam family "Bacterial small subunit ribosomal RNA", at positions 524 to 776 of the family's 1533-position model. The record is from RNAcentral.